AACUAGAAUGAGGUAGAAAAUAUGAGACUGGUGAUAUGUGUGCAAUUGCAAACACAUUUAAGGCCUUUAAACUAGAAUUAUUGCAAAGUAUUAAGAAACUCUUUUUGUUUUUUUGAUUGUUUUUAUUGUUUUAAUGCAAAUACUAGUGAUCGGGGAGAAAUAAAAGGAAAGAAGAACAAAUAAGUUAGAAUCUGGUGCAGAUAAGCUGAAGUAAAACAGACGACAUUUCUGAAUGUCAAAGUCACCAUUAAGAG
This 254-nucleotide long non-coding RNA is filed under the name Capsicum annuum. RNAcentral describes it as "long non-coding RNA (CANN_LNC015302)". Lineage: Eukaryota; Viridiplantae; Streptophyta; Magnoliopsida; Solanales; Solanaceae. The record is from RNAcentral.